This 433-nucleotide ribosomal RNA is filed under the name uncultured bacterium. RNAcentral's name for it is "partial 16S ribosomal RNA". It matches the Rfam family "Bacterial small subunit ribosomal RNA", at positions 29 to 507 of the family's 1533-position model. The record is from RNAcentral.
AACGAACGCUGGCGGCAUGCCUAACACAUGCAAGUCGAACGAGACCUUCGGGUCUAGUGGCGCACGGGUGCGUAACGCGUGGGAACCUGCCCUUAGGUUCGGAAUAACUCCCCGAAAGGGGUGCUAAUACCGGAUAAUGUCUUCGGACCAAAGAUUUAUCGCCUUUGGAUGGGCCCGCGUUGGAUUAGCUAGUUGGUAGGGUAAAAGCCUACCAAGGCGACGAUCCAUAGUUGGUCUGAGAGGAUGAUCAGCCACACUGGGACUGAGACACGGCCCAGACUCCUACGGGAGGCAGCAGUGGGGAAUAUUGGACAAUGGGCGAAAGCCUGAGCCAGCAAUGCCGCGUGAGUGAUGAAGGCCUUAGGGUUGUAAAGCUCUUUUACCCGGGAUGAUAAUGACAGUACCGGGAGAAUAAGCUCCGGCUAACUCCGUG